UACGUAGGGUGCAAGCGUUAAUCGGAAUUACUGGGCGUAAAGGGCGCGUAGGCGGCACUGUUAGUCAGGCGUGAAAUUCCUGGGCUCAACCUGGGGACUGCGCUUGAUACGGCAGAGCUAGAGGAUGGAAGAGGCUCGCGGAAUUCCCAGUGUAGAGGUGAAAUUCGUAGAUAUUGGGAAGAACACCGGUGGCGAAGGCGGCGAGCUGGUCCAUUACUGACGCUGAGGCGCGACAGCGUGGGGAGCAAACAGG
RNAcentral lists this ribosomal RNA (253 nucleotides) under uncultured bacterium. RNAcentral's name for it is "partial 16S ribosomal RNA". It matches the Rfam family "Bacterial small subunit ribosomal RNA", at positions 524 to 776 of the family's 1533-position model. The record is from RNAcentral.